AGCUUUGAACAGUGGCAGUAUUGUAGCCAAUGAGCUUUAUCCAAGGCAUGAUUAUUGCUAAUUGAAAUUCAGAAAAAGUGGG
Molecule: small nuclear RNA, 82 nt
Filed under: Aotus nancymaae (Ma's night monkey)
Lineage: Eukaryota; Metazoa; Chordata; Mammalia; Primates; Aotidae
Description: U4 spliceosomal RNA (ENSANAG00000002273.1)
Rfam family: U4 spliceosomal RNA (bases 1-71)
About the family: U4 small nuclear RNA (U4 snRNA) is a component of the major U2-dependent spliceosome. The structure of U4 snRNA from yeast and human has been reported.
Source: RNAcentral